RNAcentral lists this transfer RNA (72 nucleotides) under Ictidomys tridecemlineatus (thirteen-lined ground squirrel). Its description in RNAcentral is "Spermophilus tridecemlineatus (thirteen-lined ground squirrel) tRNA". It matches the Rfam family "tRNA". Rfam says of the family: Transfer RNA (tRNA) molecules are approximately 80 nucleotides in length. Their secondary structure includes four short double-helical elements and three loops (D, anti-codon, and T loops). Further hydrogen bonds mediate the characteristic L-shaped molecular structure. tRNAs have two regions of fundamental functional importance: the anti-codon, which is responsible for specific mRNA codon recognition, and the 3' end, to which the tRNAs corresponding amino acid is attached (by aminoacyl-tRNA synthetases). tRNAs cope with the degeneracy of the genetic code in two manners: having more than one tRNA (with a specific anti-codon) for a particular amino acid; and 'wobble' base-pairing, i.e. permitting non-standard base-pairing at the 3rd anti-codon position. Lineage: Eukaryota; Metazoa; Chordata; Mammalia; Rodentia; Sciuridae. The record is from Rfam by way of RNAcentral.
AUGGUUGUAGCUCAGUGGUAGAGCACCUGCCUAGCACAUCUGAGGCCCUGUGUUCAAUCCUCAGCACCCAUA